UACGAAGGGGACUAGCGUUGUUCGGAAUUACUGGGCGUAAAGGGCGCGUAGGCGGAUAUCUAAGUUGGGGGUGAAAUCCCGGGGCUCAACCUCGGAAUUGCCUUCAAAACUGGAUAUCUUGAGUUCGGGAGAGGUGAGUGGAACUCCGAGUGUAGAGGUGAAAUUCGUAGAUAUUCGCAAGAACACCAGUGGCGAAGGCGGCUCACUGGACUGUAACUGACGCUGAGGCAUGAAAGCGUGGGGAGCAAACAGG
Molecule: ribosomal RNA, 253 nt
Filed under: uncultured bacterium
Lineage: Bacteria
Description: partial 16S ribosomal RNA
Rfam family: Bacterial small subunit ribosomal RNA
Source: RNAcentral